GUCCUCAUUAUUCUUAGAUUUUGAAUUGACAUAUGCCCCCAUUUUUGAGGUCUACAAUUUCAAUGGUACUAACAACUUACUCUACAAGUUUUUACUUUGCAAGAUAUAAGGUGGUUUGACUUUGCCUUCAAAGUAGUUGAUUUUUAUGAUAUAGAAGGUAUUUGAAAGUUUUAAAAAGGACAUUAAGUCGAUUUGGAGGGUGCCAAUUAUAAAUAUGUGAUUAAAUUGUUAUAGAUGUGUAUAAAUGGAACAAUAUUAGAUAUUUAAUAUUUAAAAUAUUUGAAUUGAUGUAUGUAAUUGAGAAAGAAUAUUUGAGAUUUUUA
RNAcentral lists this long non-coding RNA (323 nucleotides) under Physcomitrium patens. RNAcentral's name for it is "long non-coding RNA (PPAT_LNC003246)". The record is from RNAcentral. Lineage: Eukaryota; Viridiplantae; Streptophyta; Bryopsida; Funariales; Funariaceae.